RNAcentral lists this transfer RNA (74 nucleotides) under Streptococcus pneumoniae. RNAcentral describes it as "tRNA-Asn(gtt)". It matches the Rfam family "tRNA". From Rfam's summary of the family: Transfer RNA (tRNA) molecules are approximately 80 nucleotides in length. Their secondary structure includes four short double-helical elements and three loops (D, anti-codon, and T loops). Lineage: Bacteria; Bacillati; Bacillota; Bacilli; Lactobacillales; Streptococcaceae. The record is from RNAcentral.
UCCGCCCUAGCUCAGUUGGUAGUAGCGCAUGACUGUUAAUCAUGAUGUCGUAGGUUCGAGUCCUACUGGCGGAG